GAUGAACGCUGGCGGCGUGCCUAAUACAUGCAAGUCGAGCGAGCGGACGAGAAGCUUGCUUCUCUGAUGUUAGCGGCGGACGGGUGAGUAACACGUGGAUAACCUACCUAUAAGACUGGGAUAACUUCGGGAAACCGGAGCUAAUACCGGAUAAUAUUUUGAACCGCAUGGUUCAAAAGUGAAAGACGGUCUUGCUGUCACUUAUAGAUGGAUCCGCGCUGCAUUAGCUAGUUGGUAAGGUAACGGCUUACCAAGGCAACGAUGCAUAGCCGACCUGAGAGGGUGAUCGGCCACACUGGAACUGAGACACGGUCCAGACUCCUACGGGAGGCAGCAGUAGGGAAUCUUCCGCAAUGGGCGAAAGCCUGACGGAGCAACGCCGCGUGAGUGAUGAAGGUCUUCGGAUCGUAAAACUCUGUUAUUAGGGAAGAACAUAUGUGUAAGUAACUGUGCACAUCUUGACGGUACCUAAUCAGAAAGCCUCGGCUAACUACGUG
This 497-nucleotide ribosomal RNA is filed under the name uncultured bacterium. RNAcentral's name for it is "partial 16S ribosomal RNA". It matches the Rfam family "Bacterial small subunit ribosomal RNA", at positions 28 to 507 of the family's 1533-position model. The record is from RNAcentral.